Molecule: ribosomal RNA, 1347 nt
Filed under: Phyllomimus sp. ZJZ-2017
Lineage: Eukaryota; Metazoa; Arthropoda; Insecta; Orthoptera; Tettigoniidae
Description: 16S ribosomal RNA
Rfam family: Archaeal large subunit ribosomal RNA (bases 648-1347)
Source: RNAcentral
UAGUAGUUUAUUAAUGGAUAUUUAUUUUGUAAUUUUUGUUUAAUAAAAAUAAUUCUAUGAGGUUUAUUUAAAAGUAAUUUUUAAUGAAAUUAAGUUAUUUAAAGUUGAUAGUAGAUUAGUACUGUGAAGGAAUAAUGAAAUAUAAGUGAAAUAUAUUUUUUCUAAAAAAGUAGAAUUGAUUUUUGUACCUUGUGUAUCAGGGUUUAUUUAAUAUAAUUUAUUGUUAUAAAUAUCCCGAAUCAAGAAUAGCGAGGAUUAUUUAAAAUAAUUAAUGUAGUAAAAUUAUUAUUAAUAGUGUUUUUGUAAUGAAAUGUUAUACGUGUUUUGAUAUAUCUGGUUUUCUAGGAAAUAAGUUUAAUUUAUUUUAUGUUGAGAUAAAAAUUUUGUUAGAUAAUUAUUAUUUUGAUAUAUUAAUAUAUUUUUGGGGAUAAGCUGGGAAAUAAAGUAAUUAUAAAUAAGUGGUAAAUGUGAUUGAUUGUUGUAGGCUUUAAAUUAGCUUUUUAAGGAAUAUUGUUAUAAAUUGAUUAGUUUAAUAAUUUAAUUUAUUUUUUAUAAGAUUUUAAUUUGUUUAUUAGAAUUAAUUAAUUAAUGAUGAGUUAAUUGAAAUAAUGAUAGAAUGAGUAGAUUUAUAAAGGUUUAUAAUGAAAAUUUAAUAAAUUAUAUUAAAGGAAUUCGGCAAAUUUUUUUAUUCGUAUGUUUAUCAAAAACAUUUCUUCUUGAGUUAAAUAGGAAGUAGGGCCUGCCCACUGAGUGUAUUAAAGGGCCGCGGUAGUUUGACCGUGCAAAGGUAGCAAAAUCAUUAGUUUUUUAAUUGAAGGCUUGUAUGAAUGGUUUGACGAAAUAAAAACUGUCUUGUUUAUAAAGGUUGAAUUUAACUUUUUAGUGAAAAGGCUGAAAUAAUAUUAUAGGACGAGAAGACCCUAUAGAGUUUUACUUAAAAUUAAGUAAUUUAUUUUGGUAGUAUAAUUUAUAUUUCUUAUAUUGUUUAAGUUUUGUUGGGGAGACAUAGAGGAAUAAUUAACUCUUUAUAAUAUAAUUACAUUAAUUUAUGGUUAGAUGAUCCAAUAAUAGUGAUUAUAAGAUUAAAUUACCUUAGGGAUAACAGCGUAAUUUCUUUUAAGAGUUCUUAUCGAUAAAGAAGAUUGCGACCUCGAUGUUGGAUUAAGAAUAUUUUUAGGUGAAGAGGUUUAGGAAAUAAGUCUGUUCGACUUUUAAAAUCUUACAUGAUCUGAGUUCAAACCGGCGUGAGCCAGGUUGGUUUCUAUCCUUAAUAAAUUAUGAAAUCUUAGUACGAAAGGACCAGAUUUUUGGAAUAAUUUUAAAUUUUCUUGAAUGUUAAUAAGUUAA